GAUGAACGCUGGCGGCGUGCUUAACACAUGCAAGUCGAACGAUGAAGCCCAGCUUGCUGGGUGGAUUAGUGGCGAACGGGUGAGUAACACGUGAGUAACCUGCCCUUAACUCUGGGAUAAGCCUGGGGAACUGGGUCUAAUACCGGAUAGGAGCGUCCACCGCAUGGUGGGUGUUGGAAAGAUUUAUCGGUUUUGGAUGGACUCGCGGCCUAUCAGCUUGUUGGUGAGGUAAUGGCUCACCAAGGCGACGACGGGUAGCCGGCCUGAGAGGGUGACCGGCCACACUGGGACUGAGACACGGCCCAGACUCCUACGGGAGGCAGCAGUGGGGAAUAUUGCACAAUGGGCGCAAGCCUGAUGCAGCGACGCCGCGUGAGGGAUGACGGCCUUCGGGUUGUAAACCGCUUUCAGUAGGGAAGAAGCGAAAGUGACGGUACCUGCAGAAGAAGCACCGGCUAACUACGUG
Molecule: ribosomal RNA, 466 nt
Filed under: uncultured bacterium
Lineage: Bacteria
Description: partial 16S ribosomal RNA
Rfam family: Bacterial small subunit ribosomal RNA
Source: RNAcentral